RNAcentral lists this ribosomal RNA (375 nucleotides) under uncultured bacterium. Its description in RNAcentral is "bacterial SSU rRNA". It matches the Rfam family "Bacterial small subunit ribosomal RNA", at positions 523 to 898 of the family's 1533-position model. The record is from RNAcentral.
AUACGAAGGGGGCUAGCGUUGUUCGGAAUUACUGGGCGUAAAGCGCACGUAGGCGGACGUUUAAGUCAGGGGUGAAAUCCCAGAGCUCAACUCUGGAACUGCCUUUGAUACUGGAUGACUUGAGUAUGGAAGAGGUAAGUGGAAUUGCGAGUGUAGAGGUGAAAUUCGUAGAUAUUAGCAGGAACACCUGUGGCGAAGGCGGCUUACUGGUCCAUUACUGACGCUGAGGUGCGAAAGCGUGGGGAGCAAACAGGAUGAGAUACCCUGGUAGUCCACGCCGUAAACGAUGAUAGCUAGCCGUCAGGAUGCAUGCAUUUUGGUGGCGCAGUUAACGCAUUAAGCUAUCCGCCUGGGGAGUACGGUCGCAAGAUUAAA